Molecule: transfer RNA, 68 nt
Filed under: Marmota monax (woodchuck)
Lineage: Eukaryota; Metazoa; Chordata; Mammalia; Rodentia; Sciuridae
Rfam family: tRNA
About the family: Transfer RNA (tRNA) molecules are approximately 80 nucleotides in length. Their secondary structure includes four short double-helical elements and three loops (D, anti-codon, and T loops). Further hydrogen bonds mediate the characteristic L-shaped molecular structure. tRNAs have two regions of fundamental functional importance: the anti-codon, which is responsible for specific mRNA codon recognition, and the 3' end, to which the tRNAs corresponding amino acid is attached (by aminoacyl-tRNA synthetases). tRNAs cope with the degeneracy of the genetic code in two manners: having more than one tRNA (with a specific anti-codon) for a particular amino acid; and 'wobble' base-pairing, i.e. permitting non-standard base-pairing at the 3rd anti-codon position.
Source: Rfam by way of RNAcentral
GGUUGGUAGCUCAGUGGUACAGCACUUGCCUGGCAUGUGUGAGGCACUGGGUUCAAUUCUCAGCACCA